CCCAUUGUGUGCAAAAUGGUCCAUUACAUAUAUGAUCUCUAGAGUCCAUAUAAAUUAAUAUGGCAGAUGUUCACGUAGCCAAAUGUCCGGAAUUUUUAAAGGAAAAGCAAAUAUUUGUGAUUACUUCUGCAAUGUACAAAAAGCUGUUCUGUCCAUCUAUAGUAAAGUGCUUACAAUCAAAAAUUACAAGAAAACCAAUACAAC
Pelobates cultripes (western spadefoot toad) is the source of this 204-nucleotide non-coding RNA. The record is from the annotation of a GenBank genome assembly. Lineage: Eukaryota; Metazoa; Chordata; Amphibia; Anura; Pelobatidae.